Molecule: ribosomal RNA, 575 nt
Filed under: Aureobasidium melanogenum
Lineage: Eukaryota; Fungi; Ascomycota; Dothideomycetes; Dothideales; Saccotheciaceae
Description: partial large subunit ribosomal RNA
Rfam family: Eukaryotic large subunit ribosomal RNA
Source: RNAcentral
AAGAAACCAACAGGGAUUGCCCUAGUAACGGCGAGUGAAGCGGCAACAGCUCAAAUUUGAAAGCUGGCCUUCGGGUCCGCAUUGUAAUUUGUAGAGGAUGCUUUGGGUGAAACGCCAGUCUAAGUUCCUUGGAACAGGACGUCAUAGAGGGUGAGAAUCCCGUAUGUGACUGGAAAUGUUAACCUAUGUAAAGCUCCUUCGACGAGUCGAGUUGUUUGGGAAUGCAGCUCUAAAUGGGAGGUAAAUUUCUUCUAAAGCUAAAUAUUGGCGAGAGACCGAUAGCGCACAAGUAGAGUGAUCGAAAGAUGAAAAGCACUUUGGAAAGAGAGUUAAAAAGCACGUGAAAUUGUUGAAAGGGAAGCGCUUGCAAUCAGACUUGUUUAAACUGUUCGGCCGGUCUUCUGACCGGUUUACUCAGUUUGGACAGGCCAGCAUCAGUUUCGGCGGCCGGAUAAAGGCUCUGGGAAUGUGGCCUUCACUUCGGUGAAGGUGUUAUAGCCCAGGGUGUAAUACGGCCAGCCGGGACUGAGGUCCGCGCUUCGGCUAGGAUGCUGGCGUAAUGGUUGUAAGCGACC